AGUCCACCUCAAUGCCAAACAGCAAAUAUUUAAUACUGUGCUGAGCAGCUUAUUUUUAUUGGACUCAAACUAAUUGAGGUUUUAAUAUCCUAGUGCCUGAAGAUCUCAUUCUCUUCCCGCUCUCUUGGAACUUAAAACCACAUUA
RNAcentral lists this small nucleolar RNA (145 nucleotides) under Drosophila virilis. RNAcentral's name for it is "snoRNA:GJ25437". The record is from RNAcentral. Lineage: Eukaryota; Metazoa; Arthropoda; Insecta; Diptera; Drosophilidae.